This 308-nucleotide ribosomal RNA is filed under the name uncultured eukaryote. Its description in RNAcentral is "partial 18S ribosomal RNA". It matches the Rfam family "Eukaryotic small subunit ribosomal RNA", at positions 1470 to 1796 of the family's 1831-position model. The record is from RNAcentral.
CCCCUAGAUGUUCUGGGCCGCACGCGCGCUACAAUGGCAAACUCAGCGAGUCUCCUUUACCGACAGGUAUAGGAAAUCUUUUCAGUGUUUGCCGUGAUGGGGCUAGACCCUUGUAAUUAUUGGUCUCCAACGAGGAAUUCCUAGUAAACGCAGGUCAUUAACCUGCAUUGAUUACGUCCCUGCCCUUUGUACACACCGCCCGUCGCACCUACCGAUUGAAUGGUCCGGUGAAGUCUCCGGACUGAGUACUUUUAGUACUUGGGAAGUUGACUAAACCUUACUAUUUAGAGGAAGGUGAAGUCGUAACA